RNAcentral lists this ribosomal RNA (937 nucleotides) under Bifidobacterium animalis subsp. lactis. RNAcentral's name for it is "bacterial SSU rRNA". It matches the Rfam family "Bacterial small subunit ribosomal RNA", at positions 560 to 1492 of the family's 1533-position model. Lineage: Bacteria; Bacillati; Actinomycetota; Actinomycetes; Bifidobacteriales; Bifidobacteriaceae. The record is from RNAcentral.
GUAAAGGGCUCGUAGGCGGUUCGUCGCGUCCGGUGUGAAAGUCCAUCGCCUAACGGUGGAUCUGCGCCGGGUACGGGCGGGCUGGAGUGCGGUAGGGGAGACUGGAAUUCCCCGGUGUAACGGUGGAAUGUGUAGAUAUCGGGAAGAACACCAAUGGCGAAGGCAGGUCUCUGGGCCGUCACUGACGCUGAGGAGCGAAAGCGUGGGGAGCGAACAGGAUUAGAUACCCUGGUAGUCCACGCCGUAAACGGUGGAUGCUGGAUGUGGGGCCCUUUCCACGGGUCCCGUGUCGGAGCCAACGCGUUAAGCAUCCCGCCUGGGGAGUACGGCCGCAAGGCUAAAACUCAAAGAAAUUGACGGGGGCCCGCACAAGCGGCGGAGCAUGCGGAUUAAUUCGAUGCAACGCGAAGAACCUUACCUGGGCUUGACAUGUGCCGGAUCGCCGUGGAGACACGGUUUCCCUUCGGGGCCGGUUCACAGGUGGUGCAUGGUCGUCGUCAGCUCGUGUCGUGAGAUGUUGGGUUAAGUCCCGCAACGAGCGCAACCCUCGCCGCAUGUUGCCAGCGGGUGAUGCCGGGAACUCAUGUGGGACCGCCGGGGUCAACUCGGAGGAAGGUGGGGAUGACGUCAGAUCAUCAUGCCCCUUACGUCCAGGGCUUCACGCAUGCUACAAUGGCCGGUACAACGCGGUGCGACACGGUGACGUGGGGCGGAUCGCUGAAAACCGGUCUCAGUUCGGAUCGCAGUCUGCAACUCGACUGCGUGAAGGCGGAGUCGCUAGUAAUCGCGGAUCAGCAACGCCGCGGUGAAUGCGUUCCCGGGCCUUGUACACACCGCCCGUCAAGUCAUGAAAGUGGGUAGCACCCGAAGCCGGUGGCCCGACCCUUGUGGGGGGAGCCGUCUAAGGUGAGACUCGUGAUUGGGACUAAGUCGUAAC